AUUGAACGCUGGCGGCAGGCCUAACACAUGCAAGUCGAGCGGGGUUUUCGGACCUAGCGGCGGACGGGUGAGUAAUGCGUAGGAAGCUACCCGAUAGAGGGGGAUACCAGUUGGAAACGACUGUUAAUACCGCAUAAUGUCUACGGACCAAAGUGUGGGACCUUCGGGCCACAUGCUAUCGGAUGCGCCUACGUGGGAUUAGCUAGUUGGUGAGGUAAUGGCUCACCAAGGCGACGAUCUCUAGCUGGUUUGAGAGGAUGAUCAGCCACACUGGAACUGAGACACGGUCCAGACUCCUACGGGAGGCAGCAGUGGGGAAUAUUGGACAAUGGGCGCAAGCCUGAUCCAGCCAUGCCGCGUGCAGGAUGAAGGCCUUCGGUU
This 381-nucleotide ribosomal RNA is filed under the name uncultured bacterium. Its description in RNAcentral is "bacterial SSU rRNA". It matches the Rfam family "Bacterial small subunit ribosomal RNA", at positions 30 to 423 of the family's 1533-position model. The record is from RNAcentral.